Long non-coding RNA from Xenopus laevis (African clawed frog), 1785 nucleotides. RefSeq lists it as uncharacterized. The record is from RefSeq and is a predicted model, not a curated record. The transcript has 2 exons. NCBI's taxonomy places the organism in Eukaryota, Metazoa, Chordata, Amphibia, Anura, Pipidae.
CGUCAGCCUCCCAGCGCGACGCUAUCCCGCCAUUCCCCUGCCUCCUCCAAUCCCACCGCUCUGACGUCACCCCUGAGGAGAGUGGGCAGGGUCUGAUGAGCCGUACCAUUCUGCGGGCGGCCGGACGAUUGACGGUGUAUGCGCUUUCCCCCUCCCGGGUCUGCGGAUUUUCCUUCUGCAGAGUCGAUGAAACAAAGAGCCGGCACGUGGUUCCAGAGGCAGUCAGUGAGCAGAGACACUUUACACUGUAUAUAACUGUGUUAAAGCUGUUGUUUUUUUACGCUGCAGGUUUAAGUUUGAUGAUAUAUGUAAUAUACUGUGCUUGUGUAUGUAUGCAAUAUUCUAUGCAUUUCUGUUUGCCCUAAAUCUGACCAAAGAGGCCAAAGGAACGCUGAAAGAGAGCUGACACGGAGUCCUUGAUAUCCUGUCAACCGAUGCAAGUGCUGAUUUAUACCUUAGUAUUUGUGUCCACUGCAUUCGUAACACUGUCUUAUAAGCUUUAAUGGACACAUUGCCAGUGCUUCUUUACAUAUCUGUAAUAAUCCUUUUUGUACCCAGUAUUCACAGUAUAUGUAUCCAGAGAAGUAAUGCAAACGGUACAAUUUUUGCCUAAAUAGUGACUGAUCCAAAUGGCGGUAAGAGUAGGUCAUAUAAUAUUGUGGCAUGGGUGAAUUAUUAUGAAUAACCUCUCUGAGUAACCUUUCUGUUAACAAGGCUUUCAAAGCAUUAGGCAAGAAGUUAGGCAUUAGAUGGAAGAACGAUUAUUCUAGCUUCUGUUCUGCAGCUACAGAGAUCAUAUAUAGUAGUACCAUUGAAGGUUGUACCAUUAUAACAUGUAAACUGCCUUCUGGAAAGUACAGACAGUGAUGCAGGACUCACAGAUCUCUGCAUUUUGAUCAUAGUCAAUGUUGGAAAUUGUGCAUUUGGUAUUUACAAUGUACAUUAAGUUGCCUGCUCUCAACAGAAGGUACCACUCUACUCGUACAUUAUGAACAUUGUGUCUCUGAGCAUUAGACAUGCAUUCCAGGGAAAACCAGGAGAUAAAACCCCUGCAGUCUGGGUACAUUAGUGCCGGCAACUUCAAAAUAGCCUACAUUUUAUUACUUUUACUGUCAGCUUUGUAAAUAGCCUGUGUGAUACAGCAUUUUUCAGCUCCUUACAUUUCAUAGUGACCAUAUCUUUACCUCCCAGUACAGAGUCAUAUAGUCCUACAGAUCAAAGUAAAAUACGACAGGUCCACUUAAUUCAGGAAAGACUACCUUUCUUUCAUUGUCAGCAAUUUCAUAUGCAACAUAAAAUGUUAAUAUUCCAUUUUCAUAGUACCAUGUAGCAAAAGUUCAAUAUUUUCAUAUAAUAGCAGAGGUGUGAUUAGCCAUAUACUAAAUUUUGGACAUAUAGGACACAGAAAAUGGCAACGUUGUUUUCAGGGAAGACAAGACUUCCCUGGAUUAUUAUAUAUUGUAUAGCUAAGCCUCAUGGGUCCCCUUAACAGCAUCUGAUGGGGAGCAACAGGUUGGAGUUGUGUGGUUUAUAGCUUCUCUCCAAGGAUUUCCCAGAAGUAUUUCUUUGGUAGAACAAAAGCAGUACCCUAGAUUCACCUUAAUGAUUGUAAUAAAAUGCAUAUCAGGUAGUUGUUAGGUAACUUGUUCAGGACUGUGUCUGUAAGAGUAAAAAUCUACAUUACGGUACCUUGUGACAAAGAUCAGGGUCUGGAGAGAUUGUAUUUUUUCGAAAUUUAUUUAAAAAUGUUUAAAUUGCAAUACAGUAAUGGGUUUGGGAAAUUAA